Diceros bicornis minor is the source of this 465-nucleotide non-coding RNA. NCBI's taxonomy places the organism in Eukaryota, Metazoa, Chordata, Mammalia, Perissodactyla, Rhinocerotidae. The record is from the annotation of a RefSeq genome assembly.
AUGAAGCCCAUCCUCAUCUCAGUGCUUGUGAUGAUAUUCACACUCAGAGAAACAAGUCCCCAGACAGUGACUCAGCCUGAGGACCACAUGUCUGUCUUCGAAGGGGCCCCGGUGCAGGUGAAGUGCAACUACUCGUAUUCUGGGAGUCCUGAUCUCUUCUGGUAUGUCCAGUACCCCAAACAAGGCCUCCAGUUACUCUUGAAACAUAUCUCAAGAGAGACCAUCAAAGGUUUCACGGCUGAUCUUAACAAGGGUGAUAAGUCCUUCCAUCUGAAGAAACCAUCAGCUCAAGAGGAAGACUCAGCCGUAUAUUACUGUGCUCUGAGUGCCACAGUGACUGGUUUUAUAAGGGAGGCAGAGCACAAACCCUUUAGGGAGUUACAGAGAAUAUUUCUUUGUAAAUUCUCCAUAUGGCCACAGAGGGGCAUUCUUCCUCUAGAGACUGACAUUGAGUUGACCUUUUAG